CCUACGGGUGGCAGCAGUGAGGAAUAUUGGUCAAUGGACGAGAGUCUGAACCAGCCAAGUAGCGUGAAGGAUGACUGCCCGAUGGGUUGUAAACUUCUUUUAUAGGGGAAUAAAAUGUGCCACGUGUGGGAUUUUGUAUGUACCAUAUGAAUAAGGAUCGGCUAACGCCGUGCCAGCAGCUGCGGUAAGACGGAGGAGCCGAGCUGUAUCCGGAUUUAUGGGGUUUAAAGGGGGCGUAGGUGGAUUGUUAAGUCAGUUGUGAAAGUUUGCGGCUCCACCGUAAAAUGGCAGUUGAAACUGGCAGUCUUGAGUACAGUCGCGGUGGGCGGAAUUCGUGGUGUAGCGGU
RNAcentral lists this ribosomal RNA (347 nucleotides) under uncultured bacterium. RNAcentral describes it as "partial 16S ribosomal RNA". It matches the Rfam family "Bacterial small subunit ribosomal RNA", at positions 338 to 682 of the family's 1533-position model. The record is from RNAcentral.